Non-coding RNA from Acanthosepion pharaonis, 97 nucleotides. Lineage: Eukaryota; Metazoa; Mollusca; Cephalopoda; Sepiida; Sepiidae. The record is from the annotation of a GenBank genome assembly.
UGAAACACCGGUUCCCGUACGAUCACCGAAGUUAAGCAACGUCGAGCCUGGCUAGUACUUAGACGAGUGACCGCUUGGGAAUACCAGGUGCUGUAAG